Cucumis melo (muskmelon) is the source of this 230-nucleotide long non-coding RNA. RefSeq lists it as uncharacterized. The record is from RefSeq and is a predicted model, not a curated record. Lineage: Eukaryota; Viridiplantae; Streptophyta; Magnoliopsida; Cucurbitales; Cucurbitaceae. The transcript is spliced from 2 exons.
CAACUAAAACCUUCGUGUUUCGUUUAGGUGGAUCUGUUGAGCGUGGAUUCGAUCGAGGGGCAUAACCGAGUAUCAGGUAAGGGCACAGCGAGGGGCAGACCGACGAGAGGCAGGAAGGACGCGUGAAGGCCAUAUGGACGCGUCUGGUUUUCUUAUCGCUUCCGCUAUGUAUUUUGUCAGAAUAUUUUGACUUGUGAUUUUGAACUGGUGACUUGAGUUUUUAUUUGUGA